Molecule: long non-coding RNA, 824 nt
Organism: Stylophora pistillata
Lineage: Eukaryota; Metazoa; Cnidaria; Anthozoa; Scleractinia; Pocilloporidae
Source: RefSeq, a predicted model, not a curated record
AGAGGAUGAAUAUUUACAAAAGAAUGUUGAACAGACAGGAGCUCAGUUCACGGGAAAAAAUGGCGCGAAUCAAACUGACAGCCAAAAUGAGUUGAAAAGCUGUGCACCAACAUUAAAUCAGACCUCAGAGGAAAGCAGAAAAGAACACGCAUCUGUUGAAACCGGUUUGACUUGUUCCUGUAAGAGUGCAUCACAGUCGAACCUCCCGGAUGUGAUACAGACUGACUACAAAGAAAACGAUAUAGCGAAAAAUGACAACACGGUCUGAAUAGUGAGUGAAAACCUGGGCGACCGGUUGAUUGCGAUUAAUUUUCUUUGUGAGAUUCUCGCUGAAUGUUGUUUGGUAAAGAAAGACCGGAGAGGAAAGUUCUCCCACAAGGAUUGAAUGCCUAGCUGGAAGAUGUGCUUUCUUGAAUGGCAUCAGGUGCUCCCUCUAGAAGAGAAAGGUCGUGAAUUCCAAAAAGAAGUCUCUGAAGCUUGAUGAAUUGUCCUCUGCUGAUAUAUCAGGAAAGCCUUUGAGUUCUAGGGUCAAGAUUUUGGCCGUCAAGCGGUAAACAACCGAUUGGAUCAUUAUGAGGAUAGGAGUGACUGCACACCCAUCUCUCCCUGAUUAAAAGUUAGGAUUAAAAUUGGAUUAUGGGAGGGGUGGGUGCGCCAUUGCUCAGAUACUACUAUUGAUCCUAAAGAAUCAUCAAUCGAUUCGUGUCUUUGAAUUUAAAGAAUAGUUUGGUCCAGUUUUAAUGGAUCAUCGCGGAGUUCAUUAUGAAACCGUAAUUUUUGGACGCCUAAUUGAUUGAGCUAAAUAAAUAAAAAUGAGCGACAUA